AGGUGGUUCUUAUUUUUAUGGACUACAGGGGUUACAAUCACAUUUAAAACCAGAAUCUCAUAUACUAUCUGGCCAACCAUCGACACUAACACUUGUGUAAGUAAGUCAAUGCUUGGUCUCUGAUUAAACUCCAUUUGCAUUUUAGACGGCUCUUCAUCCAGGUCCCUCGGAAAGCAACCCUUAGCAGGGUUUGUCAACCACAGCACCACUAACAUUUUAGCCCAGGCAAUUCUUCAUGCUCUGAAGGGCUGCCCUGAACACUUUAUGUUACUGACAUCUCUGGACUCUCCCCACCCAUCCCUUGGACCUAUGCAGGAAUGGAAACAAGAGUAUCUCUAUUGGGGCUGGGGAUAUGGCCUAGUGGCAAGAGUGCUUGUCU
Long non-coding RNA from Perognathus longimembris pacificus (Pacific pocket mouse), 379 nucleotides. RefSeq lists it as uncharacterized. The record is from RefSeq and is a predicted model, not a curated record. NCBI's taxonomy places the organism in Eukaryota, Metazoa, Chordata, Mammalia, Rodentia, Heteromyidae. The transcript is spliced from 3 exons.